Molecule: ribosomal RNA, 536 nt
Filed under: uncultured bacterium
Lineage: Bacteria
Description: bacterial SSU rRNA
Rfam family: Bacterial small subunit ribosomal RNA
Source: RNAcentral
AGAGUUUGAUCCUGGCUCAGGAUGAACGCUGGCGGCGUGCCUAAUACAUGCAAGUCGAGCGAAUGGAUUAAGAGCUUGCUCUUAUGAAGUUAGCGGCGGACGGGUGAGUAACACGUGGGUAACCUGCCCAUAAGACUGGGAUAACUCCGGGAAACCGGGGCUAAUACCGGAUAACAUUUUGAACCGCAUGGUUCGAAAUUGAAAGGCGGCUUCGGCUGUCACUUAUGGAUGGACCCGCGUCGCAUUAGCUAGUUGGUGAGGUAACGGCUCACCAAGGCAACGAUGCGUAGCCGACCUGAGAGGGUGAUCGGCCACACUGGGACUGAGACACGGCCCAGACUCCUACGGGAGGCAGCAGUAGGGAAUCUUCCGCAAUGGACGAAAGUCUGACGGAGCAACGCCGCGUGAGUGAUGAAGGCUUUCGGGUCGUAAAACUCUGUUGUUAGGGAAGAACAAGUGCUAGUUGAAUAAGCUGGCACCUUGACGGUACCUAACCAGAAAGCCACGGCUAACUACGUGCCAGCAGCCGCGGUAAU